UCGAUUAGAGUUUGAUUCUGGCUCAGAACGAACGCUGGCGGCAGGCUUAACACAUGCAAGUCGAACGCACCGCAAGGUGAGUGGCAGACGGGUGAGUAACGCGUGGGAACCUUCCCUUUGGUACGGAAUAACUUCGGGAAACCGAAGCUAAUACCGUAUAAGUCCUUCGGGAGAAAGAUUUAUCGCCAAAGGAUGGGCCCGCGUUGGAUUAGCUAGUUGGUAGGGUAAAGGCCUACCAAGGCUACGAUCCAUAGCUGGUCUGAGAGGAUGAUCAGCCACACUGGGACUGAGACACGGCCCAGACUCCUACGGGAGGCAGCAGUGGGGAAUAUUGGGCAAUGGGCGCAAGCCUGACCCAGCGACGCCGCGUGGGUGAUGAAGGCCUUCGGGUUGUAAAGCCCUGUCGUGUGGGAAGAACAGCCCUGAGUCGAAUACGCUCAGGGUUUGACGGUACCACAGGAGGAAGCACCGGCUAACUCCGUGCCAGCAGCCGCGGUAAUACGGAGGGUGCGAGCGUUGUUCGGAAUUACUGGGCGUAAAGGGCGUGUAGGCGGUUAUGUAAGUCAGUUGUGAAAUACUCCGGCUCAACUGGAGAACUGCAUCUGAAACUACAUAGCUAGAGUACAGAAGAGGGAAACGGAAUUCCCGGUGUAGAGGUGAAAUUCGUAGAUAUCNNNAGGAACACCAGUGGCNNNNG
Molecule: ribosomal RNA, 697 nt
Filed under: uncultured bacterium
Lineage: Bacteria
Description: bacterial SSU rRNA
Rfam family: Bacterial small subunit ribosomal RNA
Source: RNAcentral